RNAcentral lists this ribosomal RNA (974 nucleotides) under Staphylococcus aureus. RNAcentral's name for it is "bacterial SSU rRNA". It matches the Rfam family "Bacterial small subunit ribosomal RNA", at positions 36 to 991 of the family's 1533-position model. Lineage: Bacteria; Bacillati; Bacillota; Bacilli; Caryophanales; Staphylococcaceae. The record is from RNAcentral.
CUGGCGGCGUGCCUAAUACAUGCAAGUCGAGCGAACGGACGAGAAGCUUGCUUCUCUGAUGUUAGCGGCGGACGGGUGAGUAACACGUGGAUAACCUACCUAUAAGACUGGGAUAACUUCGGGAAACCGGAGCUAAUACCGGAUAAUAUUUUGAACCGCAUGGUUCAAAAGUGAAAGACGGUCUUGCUGUCACUUAUAGAUGGAUCCGCGCUGCAUUAGCUAGUUGGUAAGGUAACGGCUUACCAAGGCAACGAUGCAUAGCCGACCUGAGAGGGUGAUCGGCCACACUGGAACUGAGACACGGUCCAGACUCCUACGGGAGGCAGCAGUAGGGAAUCUUCCGCAAUGGGCGAAAGCCUGACGGAGCAACGCCGCGUGAGUGAUGAAGGUCUUCGGAUCGUAAAACUCUGUUAUUAGGGAAGAACAUAUGUGUAAGUAACUGUGCACAUCUUGACGGUACCUAAUCAGAAAGCCACGGCUAACUACGUGCCAGCAGCCGCGGUAAUACGUAGGUGGCAAGCGUUAUCCGGAAUUAUUGGGCGUAAAGCGCGCGUAGGCGGUUUUUUAAGUCUGAUGUGAAAGCCCACGGCUCAACCGUGGAGGGUCAUUGGAAACUGGAAAACUUGAGUGCAGAAGAGGAAAGUGGAAUUCCAUGUGUAGCGGUGAAAUGCGCAGAGAUAUGGAGGAACACCAGUGGCGAAGGCGACUUUCUGGUCUGUAACUGACGCUGAUGUGCGAAAGCGUGGGGAUCAAACAGGAUUAGAUACCCUGGUAGUCCACGCCGUAAACGAUGAGUGCUAAGUGUUAGGGGGUUUCCGCCCCUUAGUGCUGCAGCUAACGCAUUAAGCACUCCGCCUGGGGAGUACGACCGCAAGGUUGAAACUCAAAGGAAUUGACGGGGACCCGCACAAGCGGUGGAGCAUGUGGUUUAAUUCGAAGCAACGCGAAGAACCUUACCAAAUCUUGACAUCCUU